GAUGAACGCUGGCGGCGUGCUUAACACAUGCAAGUCGAACGGAAAGGCCCAAGCUUGCUUGGUUACUCGAGUGGCGAACGGGUGAGUAACACGUGGGUGAUCUGCCCUGCACUUCGGGAUAAGCCUGGGAAACUGGGUCUAAUACCGGAUAGGACCACAUUUUGGAUGGUGUGGUGGAAAGUUUUUCGGUGUUGGAUGAGCUCGCGGCCUAUCAGCUUGUUGGUGGGGUAAUGGCCGACCAAGGCGUCGACGGGUAGCCGGCCUGAGAGGGGGUACGGCCACAUUGGGACUAAGAUACGGACCAGACUCCUACGGGAGGCAGCAGGGGGGAAUAUUGCACAGUGGGGGCAAGCCUGAUGCAGCGACGCCGCGUGGGGGAUGACGGCCUUCGGGUUGUAAACUCCUUUCGCUAGAGACGAAGCGUUAUGUGACGGUACCAGGAGAAGAAGCACCGGCUAACUACGU
This 465-nucleotide ribosomal RNA is filed under the name uncultured bacterium. RNAcentral's name for it is "partial 16S ribosomal RNA". It matches the Rfam family "Bacterial small subunit ribosomal RNA", at positions 28 to 506 of the family's 1533-position model. The record is from RNAcentral.